Molecule: small nucleolar RNA, 141 nt
Organism: Otolemur garnettii (small-eared galago)
Lineage: Eukaryota; Metazoa; Chordata; Mammalia; Primates; Galagidae
Source: Ensembl
UUGGCCCAGAAUCAAGGCCAGCAGUUUGCUGAAGCUGUUGGUUUCAAGCAGGAGGCUAAAGAAUUAUCUUUCUAUGGUGUUGGCCAUUUUGAUUUUCUGUUUGAAUUACCUGUCCAUUGCUAAAAGGAGAGUGCAAAGUCC